This 460-nucleotide ribosomal RNA is filed under the name uncultured bacterium. RNAcentral describes it as "partial 16S ribosomal RNA". It matches the Rfam family "Bacterial small subunit ribosomal RNA", at positions 338 to 795 of the family's 1533-position model. The record is from RNAcentral.
CCUACGGGAGGCAGCAGUGAGGAAUAUUGGUCAAUGGGCGAGAGCCUGAACCAGCCAAGUCGCGUGAAGGAUGACGGCCCUACGGGUUGUAAACUUCUUUUGUCCGGGAGCAAUUGGGUCCACGCGUGGGCUUCUCGAGAGUACCUGCAGAAAAAGCAUCGGCAAACUCCGUGCCAGCAGCCGCGGUAAUACGGAGGAUGCGAGCGUUAUCCGGUUUUAUUGGGUUUAAAGGGUGCGUAGGCGGAAUAUCAAGUCAGCGGUAAAAAUUCGGGGCUCAACCCCGUAGUGCCGUUGAAACUGAUGGUCUUGAGUGGGCGAGAAGUAUGCGGAAUGUGUGGUGUAGCGGUGAAAUGCAUAGAUAUCACGCAGAACUCCGAUUGCGAAGGCAGCAUACCGGCGCCCAACUGACGCUGAAGCACGAAAGCGUGGGUAUCGAACAGGAUUAGAUACCCCAGUAGUC